AGGGAGAGGACGGACAAGUGCCGCUGGCGCAAAGCGACCAGAUCCCCUGUUCUGACAGCUGGAUCCUGGACGAAUCCAAACGCUCCCGGGAUCAGGCAACGACGCACUCAACCCGUCCAAUGUGCCAAACCGUCACGAGGACCCCGGGGUUUCUGACGCCACACGGGUGGACUGGGAAUCUCCGUCCUCGGCGUCCUCGGCCUUGGACUGUCCGUCGGUUACCGGAUCACUGUCAUCAUCCUCGUUUACGUCCUCGCUGGUGGCACCGGGGGUCGAGCUUGAGGACUCGUCCUUGUGAUCUUUCUUCCAUUUCAUCCUCCGGUUCUGGAACCAGAUUUUGAUUUGGCGCUCGGUCAGGCAGAGCACUUGUGCUAUCUCCACGCGCCUACGACGGGUCAGGUACCGGUUGAAGUGGAAUUCUUUCUCCAUCUCCAGUGUCUGGUACCGGGAGUAGGUCUGACGUCCACGCUUUCGGUUUGGAUCUACAAGAGAAAAGGGUUUCAAUCUGCUAGGUCCAAGAAUAAAAAUACUACAAUACUAAAACCAUGUUCUACACAAGCAUGACAUAUCAUGAUAUUGAUAAUGACAUAUGUGACAACUCUGAUAAUAUCAUGAUAUUGAUAAUGACAUAUGUAACAACUCUGAUAAUAUCAUGAUAUUGAUAAUGACAUAUGUAACAACUCUGAUAAUAUCAUGAUAUUGAUAAUGACAUAUGUAACAACUCUGAUAAUAUCAUGAUAUUGAUAAUGACAUAUGUGACAAUUGUGUGAUUUUGCAUUCAUGUAUUAUUUCUAUAGAAGUUAAUCAAUGAAUAAAUAAAAACAUGUUGUGCCUGUGACACAGUUUGUGCCUGUGACACAGUUUGUGCCUGUGACAUUGUUACUAAGAUGUCUUUCUCAAAAUGUUUUAGGACAGUCGAUGUUUUGCCUCAUGUAGCCUAUAUACACUUCAAUAAACUUUAUUUUUUUAAAGAC
Oncorhynchus kisutch (coho salmon) is the source of this 974-nucleotide long non-coding RNA. RefSeq lists it as uncharacterized. The transcript is spliced from 2 exons. The record is from RefSeq and is a predicted model, not a curated record. NCBI's taxonomy places the organism in Eukaryota, Metazoa, Chordata, Actinopteri, Salmoniformes, Salmonidae.